Molecule: ribosomal RNA, 484 nt
Filed under: uncultured bacterium
Lineage: Bacteria
Description: partial 16S ribosomal RNA
Rfam family: Bacterial small subunit ribosomal RNA
Source: RNAcentral
AUUGAACGCUGGCGGCAGGCCUAACACAUGCAAGUCGAGCGGAUGAAGGGAGCUUGCUCCUGGAUUCAGCGGCGGACGGGUGAGUAAUGCCUAGGAAUCUGCCUGGUAGUGGGGGAUAACGUCCGGAAACGGGCGCUAAUACCGCAUACGUCCUGAGGGAGAAAGUGGGGGAUCUUCGGACCUCACGCUAUCAGAUGAGCCUAGGUCGGAUUAGCUAGUUGGUGGGGUAAAGGCCUACCAAGGCGACGAUCCGUAACUGGUCUGAGAGGAUGAUCAGUCACACCGGAACUGAGACACGGUCCAGACUCCUACGGGAGGCAGCAGUGGGGAAUAUUGGACAAUGGGCGAAAGCCUGAUCCAGCCAUGCCGCGUGUGUGAAGAAGGUCUUCGGAUUGUAAAGCACUUUAAGUUGGGAGGAAGGGCAGUAAGUUAAUACCUUGCUGUUUUGACGGUACCAACAGAAUAAGCACCGGCUAACUUCGUG